GGAUGUGAGGGUGAUCUGGCUGAGACAUCUGUUACCCCAUUGAUUGCCAGGGUUGAUUCAGCUGAUCUGGCUGGCUAGGCGGGUGUCCCCUUCCUCCCUCACCACUCCAUGUGCGUCCCUCCCAAAGCUGAAACUGCGCACUGGGUGGAAGAGGAUGGCCUUCCCCGAACAGAGACAGAAAGAGAAAUGCUACCACUGGUCAUAUUUCAUUGACCAAAACAAAUCACUCAACCAUGCCUAAACUUAAGGAUGGAAGAGUUACAUCUGGUAGAGAGUAUAAAUGAUGUAAAAAGUUGGAAAAGUCAGAAGAAACCCAAAACUUUAUUUUUCUUCUCAUGUUU
This 341-nucleotide small RNA is filed under the name Erinaceus europaeus (western European hedgehog). RNAcentral describes it as "7SK RNA (ENSEEUG00000022020.1)". The stretch from base 1 to 189 matches the Rfam family "7SK RNA". Rfam says of the family: 7SK was discovered as an abundant small nuclear RNA in the mid-70s but a possible function has only recently been suggested. Two independent studies have found that 7SK RNA binds the CDK9/cyclin T complex (known as elongation factor P-TEFb). P-TEFb activates transcription by phosphorylating the C-terminal domain of RNA polymerase II. The record is from RNAcentral. Lineage: Eukaryota; Metazoa; Chordata; Mammalia; Eulipotyphla; Erinaceidae.